Molecule: long non-coding RNA, 1825 nt
Filed under: Pan troglodytes (chimpanzee)
Lineage: Eukaryota; Metazoa; Chordata; Mammalia; Primates; Hominidae
Description: long non-coding RNA NONPTRT018403
Source: RNAcentral
GAACAUAGGGGAAGCCUUAUAUAAAAUUGUUCAAUAAACAAAAGAUGUCUUUAACAUGUGUUUCAGAUCUUUCUUCUCAUGAUUCCAUGUUAGGUACAACAACUAUGACCGGGCUGUCAUCAAUACCGUUCCUUAUGAUGUCGUCCAUCGCUGGUAUACAGCACACCGGACUCUAACGAUAGAGUUGAGGAGACCUGAGAAUGAGUUUUGGGUCAAACUAAAGCCUGGCAGGGUCCUAUUUAUAGACAACUGGCGUGUCCUACAUGGCAGGGAAUGCUUCACUGGCUACCGCCAACUCUGUGGCUGCUAUUUAACAAGAGAUGAUGUAUUAAACACUGCUCGCCUCUUGGGGCUUCAGGCUUAAAAUUGACAGCAUCUGGAUUAUGAAUACACCUGGCACCCUGGCUACCAGAAUUUCAUAUGGGCAGAAUAAUAUUGUGUCAAACUCUACUUCAGAUUGUCUCCUUAUCCCAUCCCACAAAACAGAAUCUGUCCGUUUCUCUAGUAAGGGAGACUUGUUGGAGAGGCGGGACUCUGAGUUAUCUAAUGUCAGACAUCUAGUGGGGCAGCUCUCUUCCUCAUGUUAUAACAUGGAUCCACUUGUUUUAUUUAAACCUUUUAAUAUAAUUUUGGUCAGUCUCCUUCAGAAAUAUAAUCUCCAUAUUGAUAGGAAAGCAAUAAUUGCCAUGAGGUAACGAUUUUUUUCCCAAGUAGAUCAGUUAGAAAGAAAUGCAUUCUAGAAAUAACAAAAAUCCUGAUAAAGCAACAAUUUGCAAAAUGUUUGGUCUUAGGACACCUUAACACUCUUAAAAGUUAUUGAAGGCCCCAAGGAGUUCUUGGGUGUGGGUUCUAUCUAUUGAUAUGAAUUAUUUUAGGUAUUAAGACUGAGAAAUAUUUAAAACUCAAGAAGAACACAGAAGCACACAUCCCUCAGCUAUCAGAGAGAUGACAUAACCAUAUGUCAUGUAGCCUCUGGAAAAGUCCUCUGUAUCCUCAUGAGAUAACGAGAGGGGGAAAAAAAGCUACUACUGCCUUUGUAACUUCCACUUAGCCUACUACAGGGCUAUGCACAUCUUAGUUUCCAAAAGUCUGCUUAAUUUCAAAAGAAAAAUGCCUAAUUGAAUGUAACUCAUCUUGGUGUUAUUAUACAAAAUAAUUUUUAAUCUGCAGACCCACGAAAAGGGUCUCAGGGACUCCUCCAGGGGUCUUCAGACCAUACUUUGAGAACCCAUGGGCUAGCGACUACCUUGAGACAGUCCUUUACCUAGGCCUGUGGAUUAAAGGGUUUAGCUGAAACCCUAGAUUCUUCUCUAUAGUCUAAUAGAACUCCAAACGUUGUAAGAAUUGCUUGGUAGCAUAAGCUCAGGGAUAAGGUGGGAAUUGAGUUCAAAUAUAGUGUUUUAUCUUCCACACAAAUCAUCUCUAUAGGAGUUAAAUUAGGAAGUCACAACAGCGCCUGUUGAACAAACUCAUCAGUGUGGUAAUCCUUUGAGGGAUAAUUGCAGAAAGGUUUUAGAGACUUGUGAGGUUCCAUAUGAUAAUUCUUUACACCUCCCCCCCGAAGAGAAAGUACACAGGGCUAUUCUGUAAUAUUGUUCAGGGAAAUCAGCAUGACAGAUGCUGUGCCUCCAGAGAGUUCUCUGGAGAUUACUACCCAAAUGUGUAUUUUGGCAAUUUGGUGGUAUUUAGGAUGUAAUAUGUUUUCCUCCAUUUCUGCUAAUUUUCUCUCUCUCUCUCUCAUAACAUACUAUACAUGCUAAUUGCCAAGAUUUGAAUGAGUCAAAUUUAGUAGCUUGCUGCUUUUAUUUUUUAAAUGGCUUCUUUU